CUUGCCCCUAAAGGUGCUGCAGGUGUGGCUGCUGUGCUACAUGUGCCUUAAUAGGCACCAGAGAAGAGAGAUGGUUUGUCUAUGCCCAGUGCUCUGACCUGUGAACAUCUUAACGAUUAGUAUCCGAACAUU
Apodemus sylvaticus (European woodmouse) is the source of this 132-nucleotide small nucleolar RNA. RefSeq annotates it as small nucleolar RNA SNORA17. The transcript has a single exon. The record is from RefSeq and is a predicted model, not a curated record. Lineage: Eukaryota; Metazoa; Chordata; Mammalia; Rodentia; Muridae.